CGACCGGCCACACUGGGACUGAGACACGGCCCAGACUCCUACGGGAGGCAGCAGUGGGGAAUAUUGCGCAAUGGGCGAAAGCCUGACGCAGCGACGCCGCGUGCGGGAUGAAGGCCUUCGGGUUGUAAACCGCUUUCAGCAGGGACGAAGCGAAAGUGACGGUACCUGCAGAAGAAGCGCCGGCUAACUACGUGCCAGCAGCCGCGGUAACACGUAGGGCGCAAGCGUUGUCCGGAAUUAUUGGGCGUAAAGAGCUCGUAGGUGGUCCGCUGCGUCCGCUGUGAAAAUCCAGGGCUUAACCCUGGACUUGCAGUGGAUACGGGCGAACUAGAGGUAGGUAGGGGAGAAUGGAAUUCCCGGUGUAGCGGUGAAAUGCGCAGAUAUCGGGAGGAACACCGGUGGCGAAGGCGGUUCUCUGGGCCUUACCUGACACUGAGGAGCGAAAGCGUGGGGAGCGAACAGGAUUAGAUACCCUGGUAGUCCACGCCGUAAACGUUGGGCGCUAGGUGUGGGGUCCUUCCACGGAUUCCGUGCCGCAGCUANCGCAUUAAGCGCCCCGCCUGGGGAGUACGGCCGCAUGGCUAAAACU
RNAcentral lists this ribosomal RNA (589 nucleotides) under uncultured actinomycete. RNAcentral describes it as "bacterial SSU rRNA". It matches the Rfam family "Bacterial small subunit ribosomal RNA", at positions 301 to 901 of the family's 1533-position model. The record is from RNAcentral. Lineage: Bacteria; Bacillati; Actinomycetota; Actinomycetes; Actinomycetales.